Choloepus didactylus (southern two-toed sloth) is the source of this 107-nucleotide small nuclear RNA. NCBI's taxonomy places the organism in Eukaryota, Metazoa, Chordata, Mammalia, Pilosa, Megalonychidae. The record is from RefSeq and is a predicted model, not a curated record.
GUGCUUGCUUCAGUGGCACAUAUACUAAAAUUGGAACAACAUGGAGAAGAGUAGCAUGGCCCCUGCACAAGGAUGACACACAAAUUCGUGAAGUGUUCCAUAUUUUU